Molecule: non-coding RNA, 685 nt
Organism: Leptonychotes weddellii (Weddell seal)
Lineage: Eukaryota; Metazoa; Chordata; Mammalia; Carnivora; Phocidae
Source: RefSeq, a predicted model, not a curated record
GUGUGCGCAGGGGCGCAUGUCUCCUGGUCUCUACGCUCACGUCUGCUGACGUCAGGCACCUGCGAGGCCCUACACGUGCGCAAACACCCCUCCCGGGGUCUGUGGGCCUGCAAGAGCACCAGCUGACCCCCUCUGAGGGCCGACCUGCACCCGGUACCGUGCUGCCCGCUGCGGGGAGGAUUUCUGUCCGUCUCCACAGCAAGCCCAGGAGGAAGCCUUCCUGGAUUCCUCCACGCAGAUGUGGUGUCCACCUCCAGACCCUUAUCUCUCACUCUACACACACCUCUCCUGCUGGCUACCAGGGCCCUGCUUGGGUUUGAGCUCUCAUGACCUGCUCGUCACCUUACCUGGGAGAGGGGAUCUGUGUCCAGGGAAGAAAGAGAGGCCUUCCUGCAGGAGGCUGUCCUUGUGUUUUGCACUGAGUUGGCGACUUGCUGUAGAUCAGUGGACGUUGUGAGGGUCAGCGUCGGAGUCGUAGCGCACAAACACGCCGAAGAGGACCACCAGGGCCACCUGCAGGAGCAAGCAGGUGACUGGCAGCCGCCAGCGGAGAUUGGUGUUCCAGACCAUGCUGCGGGGGGCGCCUGGCGGGGAGGGCAGCAAGCAGUUCGGACUGACGCUCGCAGGCGGGAGAGGCUUAUAAGACCCGGGCAGGGGCGGGGCGGCCGCGUCGGGUGGCGGAACA